RNAcentral lists this transfer RNA (30 nucleotides) under Neophema elegans. RNAcentral describes it as "partial tRNA-Phe". The record is from RNAcentral. Lineage: Eukaryota; Metazoa; Chordata; Aves; Psittaciformes; Psittacidae.
GAUGCCAAGAUGGGCACCACCCCAAGGACA